GACGAACGCUGGCGGCGUGCUUAACACAUGCAAGUCGAGCGGUAAGGCCCUUUUGGGGGUACACGAGCGGCGAACGGGUGAGUAACACGUGGGUGACCUGCCCUCAGCUCUGGGAUAAGCCUGGGAAACUGGGUCUAAUACUGGAUAUGACCUUUCCUCGCAUGGGGUUGGGUGGAAAGUUUUUCGGCUGGGGAUGGGCCCGCGGCCUAUCAGCUUGUUGGUGGGGUGAUGGCCUACCAAGGCGACGACGGGUAGCCGGCCUGAGAGGGCGACCGGCCACACUGGGACUGAGACACGGCCCACGACUCCUACGGGAGGGCAGCAGUGGGGAAGUAUUGCGCAAUGGGCGGAAGCCUGACGCAGCGACGCCGCGUGGGGGAGUGAC
This 385-nucleotide ribosomal RNA is filed under the name uncultured bacterium. Its description in RNAcentral is "bacterial SSU rRNA". It matches the Rfam family "Bacterial small subunit ribosomal RNA", at positions 28 to 413 of the family's 1533-position model. The record is from RNAcentral.